Molecule: long non-coding RNA, 628 nt
Organism: Cyprinus carpio carpio
Lineage: Eukaryota; Metazoa; Chordata; Actinopteri; Cypriniformes; Cyprinidae
Source: Ensembl
GAAUAUUAAGAGUAGCAGAAUACUUUUUCAGUUCUGUUUUAUACCUCUGUUGUUUUUACAAACCGUUCAUACUGUAAACGAGAGUCACAACUGUUUUUUAUAAGUUCACCAACUGUAUAACCGACAGGACUCACAAUCGUAGUCAAUAAAUCUGUGACGUGUGAACGGAUCCAUAUUAAGCGACAGUUGUCUACACGUCAUGCAAUGCGAGAGUAGCUCUUCGUUCCACAAAAUUGCGCGACUUUCAGUGUGACAUCUGGCAGGUGAUUUUGGAUCCCCUCGCUGUGUUCGCUGUGCUAGAGAUCCACUCGCCAGGCCUGCCGUGGUCUUUGCGUGACCCAAAUGCUGCGCUCUACACUCAGCUCCUUCUCCCAGCAGGAUGCCAUGUUGUUCUUGGAGGCUCUCAGAAGAAUACUGCUAUCAGAAGACUGGAUCUGUUGUCUGGUGCCUCUUGGGUUACUCUGUGUUAUGGCCUGAUUCCAGCACAGAUAAUAUUGGGCCUUGCUGUAAACAUUGUACUGUAGAUGACAUGUCUUAGAUGUGAAUAAUUUACAAGUCUGUCAGCAUUUUCCCGUCCUUAUGUUAGUCCAAACAUGUAUGUCUUUCUUUAUACUGUGGAAGCCAAAAG